Molecule: unclassified non-coding RNA, 253 nt
Filed under: uncultured Verrucomicrobiota bacterium
Lineage: Bacteria; Pseudomonadati; Verrucomicrobiota
Description: uncultured Verrucomicrobia bacterium contains 16S-23S intergenic spacer region
Rfam family: Bacterial small subunit ribosomal RNA
Source: RNAcentral
UACAGAGGUCUCAAGCGUUGUUCGGAUUCAUUGGGCGUAAAGGGUGCGUAGGUGGCGUUAUAAGUCAGGUGUGAAAUCUCGGAGCUCAACUCCGAAACUGCACUUGAUACUGUAAUGCUCGAGUACUGGAGAGGAGAUUGGAAUUUACGGUGUAGCAGUGAAAUGCGUAGAUAUCGUAAGGAAGACCAGUGGCGAAGGCGAAUCUCUGGACAGUUACUGACACUGAGGCACGAAGGCCAGGGGAGCAAACGGG